AAUAAGAGCCAUAUCACCCUGUAGCCCAAGACUGGUCACCCACUGAAGCUAAGCAGGGUUAAGCCUGGUCAGUACCUGGAUGGGAGACCUCCUGGGAAAACUAGGUUGCUGUUGGAA
RNAcentral lists this ribosomal RNA (117 nucleotides) under Sinocyclocheilus rhinocerous. The record is from RNAcentral. Lineage: Eukaryota; Metazoa; Chordata; Actinopteri; Cypriniformes; Cyprinidae.